AUGAAGAUGUUCGUUUUUGAAGAGAAAUUGAAGGCUUGGCAAAUUGAAUUUAGAUGUGGUCGAGCCUGUGGAAGAUUUGGUGAUACGGGUUCAGAGCCCCCUUCAAACCAAAAUUCUGCUAUUGGGCCUAAUGAGGUUGGAGGCCCAGUGUUGAGAAAGAGUCAAAGGGCUAGAAAGCAAUCCAUUUGGAUGCAAGACUUUGCCUAA
Vicia faba (fava bean) is the source of this 207-nucleotide non-coding RNA. The record is from the annotation of a GenBank genome assembly. NCBI's taxonomy places the organism in Eukaryota, Viridiplantae, Streptophyta, Magnoliopsida, Fabales, Fabaceae.